AUUGAACGCUGGCGGCAGGCCUAACACAUGCAAGUCGAGCGGAGCGGCGGACGGGUGAGUAAUGCCUAGGAAUCUGCCUGGUCGUGAGGGAUAAAGUCCGGCAACGGGCGCUAAUACAGCAUACUAUCAGAUGAGCGUAGAUGGGAUUGGCUAGUGGGUGGGGAAAGGGCCUACAAAGGCGACGGUCCGUCACUGGUCUGAGAGGAUGAUCAGUCACACUGGAACUGAGACACGGUCCAGACUCCUACGGGAGGCAGCAGUGGGGAAUAUUGGACAAUGGGCGAAAGCCUGAUCCAGCCAUGCCGCGUGUGUGAAGAAGGUCUUAGGAUUGUAAAGCACUUUAAGUCGGGAGGCGUUACCAACAGAAUAAGCACCGGCUAACUUCGUGCCAGCAGCCGCGGUAAUUC
Molecule: ribosomal RNA, 407 nt
Filed under: uncultured bacterium
Lineage: Bacteria
Description: partial 16S ribosomal RNA
Rfam family: Bacterial small subunit ribosomal RNA
Source: RNAcentral